RNAcentral lists this transfer RNA (96 nucleotides) under Streptomyces cinereoruber. Its description in RNAcentral is "tRNA-Arg". The record is from RNAcentral. Lineage: Bacteria; Bacillati; Actinomycetota; Actinomycetes; Kitasatosporales; Streptomycetaceae.
GCCUCCACCAGGUAGGUUCCGGGGCCCGCCCUGCCCGCCGGGGCGGUGGCGCACUGCGGGGCGCUGCGCCCGCGGUCCCACUCCACGGUGUGGGUG